GACGAACGCUGGCGGCGUGCUUAACACAUGCAAGUCGAACGGAAAGGCCCUGCUUUUGUGGGGUGCUCGAGUGGCGAACGGGUGAGUAACACGUGAGUAACCUGCCCUUGACUUUGGGAUAACUUCAGGAAACUGGGGCUAAUACCGGAUAGGAGCUCCUGCUGCAUGGUGGGGGUUGGAAAGUUUCGGCGGUUGGGGAUGGACUCGCGGCUUAUCAGCUUGUUGGUGGAGUAGUGGCUUACCAAGGCUUUGACGGGUAGCCGGCCUGAGAGGGUGACCGGCCACAUUGGGACUGAGAUAAGGCCCAGACUCCUACGGGAGGCAGCAGUGGGGAAUAUUGCACAAUGGGCGGAAGCCUGAUGCAGCAACGCCGCGUGCGGGAUGACGGCCUUCGGGUUGUAAACCGCUUUCGCCUGUGACGAAGCGUGAGUGACGGUAAUGGGUAAAGAAGCACCGGCUAACUACGUG
This 468-nucleotide ribosomal RNA is filed under the name uncultured bacterium. RNAcentral's name for it is "partial 16S ribosomal RNA". It matches the Rfam family "Bacterial small subunit ribosomal RNA", at positions 28 to 507 of the family's 1533-position model. The record is from RNAcentral.